Long non-coding RNA from Oncorhynchus gorbuscha (pink salmon), 269 nucleotides. RefSeq lists it as uncharacterized. The transcript is spliced from 3 exons. The record is from RefSeq and is a predicted model, not a curated record. NCBI's taxonomy places the organism in Eukaryota, Metazoa, Chordata, Actinopteri, Salmoniformes, Salmonidae.
CUCUCAGGACAUCCAGCUCUUUGGGAUUGGUAUCCAGUCAGAACACUGUGUGUUGGAGAUCAGCCCAGAUGGGGGGGAGGUCACCCUCACCCCUAUAGAGAAUGCCAGAACCUGUGUGAAUGGAACCAUGACUGAGUCCUUGGUCCACCUGUGGCAUGGAGACCGCAUAUUGUGGGGCAACAACCACUUCUUCAGGAUAAACCUGCCUGGGAGGAAGCGGCGUGAGCGUCUGAAGGAGCUGGAGAGGGAACGGGCGUCCCAGGGAGAGC